This 253-nucleotide ribosomal RNA is filed under the name uncultured bacterium. RNAcentral's name for it is "partial 16S ribosomal RNA". It matches the Rfam family "Bacterial small subunit ribosomal RNA", at positions 524 to 776 of the family's 1533-position model. The record is from RNAcentral.
UACGUAGGGUGCAAGCGUUAAUCGGAAUUACUGGGCGUAAAGCGUGCGCAGGCGGUUUUGUAAGUCUGAUGUGAAAUCUCCGGGCUCAACCUGGGAAUUGCAUUGGAGACUGCAAGGCUAGAAUCUGGCAGAGGGGGGUAGAAUUCCACGUGUAGCAGUGAAAUGCGUAGAGAUGUGGAGGAACACCGAUGGCGAAGGCAGCCCCCUGGGUCAAGAUUGACGCUCAUGCACGAAAGCGUGGGGAGCAAACAGG